GAUGGCGUCCAAAUUACAGAGCCUGACAUCCGCAAACUGCCUUACUUACAGGCUGUGAUCAAGGAGACUUUACGGUUGAGAAUGGCCAUUCCUCUAUUAGUGCCUCACAUGAAUCUUCAAGAUGCCAAGUUGGGUGGUUAUGACAUUCCUGCAGAAAGCAAGAUUUUAGUUAAUGCAUGGUGGCUGGCCAACAACCCUGAUCACUGGAACAAACCCCAAGAAUUUCGACCUGAGAGGUUCUUGGAAGAGGAGGGAAAUGUAGAGCCUAGUGGGAAUGACUUUAGAUACCUUCCCUUCGGCGCUGGGAGGAGGAGUUGUCCUGGCAUUAUUCUCGCCUUGCCCAUCCUUGCUAUUACUUUGGGUCGUCUUCUUCAAAAUUUUGAGCUCAUGCCUCCUCCUGGACAAUCCAAGAUUGAUACCACCGAAAAGCCUGGACAGUUUAGCUUACAAAUAUUCAAUCACUCUACUAUUGUGGCAAAACCAAGGUCUUUGUGAUUUCUAUAUUAAUCUUCUCUUCGUGCAGGGUGUUUACUUUUUUUCCCAGUCAGUCGAAAAAGUAAUUUAGAAUUUGAUUGAUGACUAUAAAUUUACUUUGAUUAAGAAUGCAUGUGUUGUGUGUGUGGUGCUACAAACGUAAUCAAUAUUAUCAACAGGAUCUUUCCUUAAUGUACCUGGGGUUUGGAAAUCUUUUCACGUGAGUUGUACGUUGUUUUCUUGAAAUAAUUCUCUAUUUCAUUGAUAAUUUAGCAGAAGUACGA
Molecule: long non-coding RNA, 758 nt
Filed under: Cucumis sativus (cucumber)
Lineage: Eukaryota; Viridiplantae; Streptophyta; Magnoliopsida; Cucurbitales; Cucurbitaceae
Description: long non-coding RNA (CSAT_LNC000214)
Source: RNAcentral